Molecule: ribosomal RNA, 236 nt
Filed under: uncultured bacterium
Lineage: Bacteria
Description: partial 16S ribosomal RNA
Rfam family: Bacterial small subunit ribosomal RNA
Source: RNAcentral
GAUUGGAGCGGCCGAUAUCGGAUUAGCUAGUUGGUGAGGUAAAGGCUCACCAAGGCGACGAUCCGUAGCUGGUCUGAGAGGACGACCAGCCACACUGGAACUGAGACACGGUCCAGACUCCUACGGGAGGCAGCAGUGGGGAAUUUUGGACAAUGGGGGCAACCCUGAUCCAGCCAUUCCGCGUGAGUGAAGAAGGCCUUCGGGUUGUAAAGCUCUUUCAGCAGGAACGAAACGGU